UGCAAGUCGAGGGGCAGCGCGGGAUAGCAAUAUCCUGGCGGCGACCGGCGGAAGGGUGCGUAACGCGUGAGCGACAUGCCCGUUGCCCGGGGACAACCGGUGGAAACGCCGACUAAUCCCCGAUGGGAUAUUGUGCCGCAUGGCACGAUAUUGAAAGUUACGGCGGCGACGGAUUGGCUCGCGUCCGAUUAGCUUGUUGGCGGGGUAACGGCCCACCAAGGCUACGAUCGGUAGGGGUUCUGAGAGGAAGGCCCCCCACAAUGGGACUGAGACACGGCCCAUACUCCUACGGGAGGCAGCAGUGAGGAAUAUUGGUCAAUGGGCGGAAGCCUGAACCAGCCAUGCCGCGUGCGGGAAGGAGGCCCUAUGGGCUGUGAACCGCUUUUGCCUGGGGGUAAUAAGGGCGUCGCGCACGCCCGAUGAGAGUACCAGGCGAAUAAGCAUCGGCUAACUCCGUGCCAGCAGCCGCGGUAAUACGGGGGAUGCGAGCGUUAUCCGGAUUCAUUGGGUUUAAAGGGUGCGUAGGCUGUGCGUCAAGUCGGGGGUGAAAUUCCGGUGCUCAACACCGGGGCUGCCCUUGAUACUGUCGCGCUGGAGUGCGGAUGCCGCCGGAGGAAUGAGUGGUGUAGCGGUGAAAUGCUUAGAUAUCACUCAGAACACCGAUUGCGAAGGCAUCUGGCGAAUCCGUAACUGACGCUGA
Molecule: ribosomal RNA, 700 nt
Filed under: uncultured bacterium
Lineage: Bacteria
Description: bacterial SSU rRNA
Rfam family: Bacterial small subunit ribosomal RNA
Source: RNAcentral